GCUGCUCGAGUGAUGGCCACUAUUACUGGGUUUAAAGCGUCCGUAGCUUGACUGUUAGGUCUCUUGGGAAAUCUUCACGCUCAACGUGAAGGCGUCUAAGAGAUACCGGCAGUCUUGGAACUGGGAGAGGUAAACCGUACUUCGGGGGUAGGAGUGAAAUCUUGUAAUCCUCGAGGGACGACCUAUGGCGAAGGCAGUUUACCAGAACAGCUUCGACAGUGAGGGACGAAAGCUGGGGGAGCAAACGGGAUUAGAUACCCCGGUAGUCCCAGCCGUAAACAAUGUGCGUUAGGUGUGUCGGUAACCACGUGUUACUGAUGCGCCGAAGAGAAAUCGUGAAACGCACCACCUGGGAAGUACGGUCGCAAGGCUGAAACUUAAAGGAAUUGGCGGGGGAGCACCACAACAGGUGGAGCCUGCGGUUUAAUUGGAUUCAACGCCGGACAUCUCACCGGAUAAGACAGCUGAAUGAUUGUCAAUCUGAAGGUUUUACAUGACUAGCUGAGAGGAGGUGCAUGGCCGUCGUCAGUUCGUACUGUGAAGCAUCCUGUUAAGUCAGGCAACGAGCGAGACCCACGCCGACAAUUGCCAGCAGCAUCUCCGGAUGGCUGGGGACAUUGUCGGGACCGCCUCUGCUAAAGAGGAGGAAGGAAUGGGCAACGGUAGGUCAGCAUGCCCCGAAUUAUCCGGGCUACACGCGGGCUACAAUGGACGGGACAAUGGGUAACAACACCGAAAGGUGCAGUCAAUCUCCUAACCCCGUCCUUAGUUAGGAUUGCGGGUUGCAACUCACCCGCAUGAAUCUGGAAUCUGUAGUAAUCGCGUUUCACUAUAGCGCGGUGAAUACGUCCCUGCUCCUUGCACACACCGCCCGUCAAACCACCCGAGUGGGGUCUGGAUGAGGCGGCAGUUUAUGCUG
Molecule: ribosomal RNA, 919 nt
Filed under: uncultured bacterium
Lineage: Bacteria
Description: bacterial SSU rRNA
Rfam family: Archaeal small subunit ribosomal RNA
Source: RNAcentral